Molecule: transfer RNA, 101 nt
Filed under: Candidatus Woesearchaeota archaeon
Lineage: Archaea; Nanobdellati; Candidatus Woesearchaeota
Description: tRNA-Met
Source: RNAcentral
AGCGGGGUAGGGAAGUCUGGAGUUCCCGAUGGGCUCAUAACCCAUAGCUCGGUGGUUCAAAUGUCAGACGCGUGCGUCUACUGAACGUCCACCCCCCGCUA